Molecule: transfer RNA, 61 nt
Filed under: Camelus bactrianus (Bactrian camel)
Lineage: Eukaryota; Metazoa; Chordata; Mammalia; Artiodactyla; Camelidae
Also listed under: 2 other names
Rfam family: tRNA
About the family: Transfer RNA (tRNA) molecules are approximately 80 nucleotides in length. Their secondary structure includes four short double-helical elements and three loops (D, anti-codon, and T loops).
Source: Rfam by way of RNAcentral
GGUAUGGCUCAGUGGUAGAGCAUGUGCUUAGCAUGAAGUCUUGGGUUCAAUCCCCGGUACC